Molecule: ribosomal RNA, 494 nt
Filed under: uncultured bacterium
Lineage: Bacteria
Description: bacterial SSU rRNA
Rfam family: Bacterial small subunit ribosomal RNA
Source: RNAcentral
AUUGAACGCUGGCGGAAUGCUUUACACAUGCAAGUCGAGCGGCAGCGCGGGGCAACCUGGCGGCGAGCGGCGAACGGGUGAGUAACACAUCGGAACGUGCCCAGACGUGGGGGAUAGCCCGGCGAAAGCCGGAUUAAUACCGCAUGUGAUCUGAGGAUGAAAGUGGGGGACCGCAAGGCCUCACGCGUUUGGAGCGGCCGAUGGCAGAUUAGGUAGUUGGUGGGGUAAAGGCUUACCAAGCCUGCGAUCUGUAGCUGGUCUGAGAGGAUGAUCAGCCACACUGGGACUGAGACACGGCCCAGACUCCUACGGGAGGCAGCAGUGGGGAAUUUUGGACAAUGGGCGCAAGCCUGAUCCAGCCAUUCCGCGUGCAGGACGAAGGCCUUCGGGUUGUAAACUGCUUUUGUACGGAACGAAAGGGCUCUGGUUAAUACCUGGGGCAUAUGACGGUACCGUAAGAAUAAGCACCGGCUAACUACGUGCCAGCAGCCGAC